This 134-nucleotide small nucleolar RNA is filed under the name Mastacembelus armatus (zig-zag eel). Its description in RNAcentral is "Small nucleolar RNA SNORA31 (ENSMAMG00000004652.2)". It matches the Rfam family "Small nucleolar RNA SNORA31". Rfam says of the family: ACA31 (SNORA31) belongs to the H/ACA class of snoRNAs which are thought to guide the sites of modification of uridines to pseudouridines. ACA31 is predicted to guide the pseudouridylation of U3713 in 28S rRNA and U218 in 18S rRNA. The record is from Rfam by way of RNAcentral. Lineage: Eukaryota; Metazoa; Chordata; Actinopteri; Synbranchiformes; Mastacembelidae.
UUGCAUCCACUGAUAGACCUGAAGCAGACUUCACCGGCUUUUGGGUUUGCAUAGAGAUGCUAAACUGAGUCUUCCUUGCACUUUCUGGCUGCUACGUUCUAUAGCAGCACAGAAUUAAAUGGAGGAAUACAUGU